Molecule: ribosomal RNA, 446 nt
Filed under: uncultured bacterium
Lineage: Bacteria
Description: bacterial SSU rRNA
Rfam family: Bacterial small subunit ribosomal RNA
Source: RNAcentral
ACCAGACUCCUACGGGAGGCAGCAGUGGGGAAUAUUGCACAAUGGGGGAAGCCCUGAUGCAGCGACGCCGCGUGAGCGAAGAAGUAUUUCGGUAUGUAAAGCUCUAUCAGCAGGGAAGAAAAUGACGGUACCUGACUAAGAAGCCCCGGCUAAAUACGUGCCAGCAGCCGCGGUAAUACGUAGGGGGCAAGCGUUAUCCGGAUUUACUGGGUGUAAAGGGAGCGUAGACGGCAGCGCAAGUCUGAAGUGAAAUGCCGGGGCUUAACCCCGGAACUGCUUUGGAAACUGUGCAGCUAGAGUGCAGGAGAGGUAAGUGGAAUUCCUAGUGUAGCGGUGAAAUGCGUAGAUAUUAGGAGGAACACCGGUGGCGAAGGCGGCUUACUGGACCAUAACUGACGUUGAGGCUCGAAAGCGUGGGGAGCGAACAGGAUUAGAUACCCCGGUAA